Molecule: long non-coding RNA, 8125 nt
Filed under: Sorghum bicolor (sorghum)
Lineage: Eukaryota; Viridiplantae; Streptophyta; Magnoliopsida; Poales; Poaceae
Description: long non-coding RNA (SBIC_LNC008165)
Source: RNAcentral
GUGCGCGGGGACAGGGCUCGGCGCGGCGGGGCGUCCGCGCGGCCGGCCAGGUCGGAGACGCGGACACGGAGAGGCUCCGUGCUCGCGGUGCUGGCCGAAGACGGGGCUCGGGGAAGAGCUCGCGGUUGUGCGUCGUGACGCGGCCACGGCGAGGUUGGUGUCGCAGGCGAAGGACCUCGACGUCGGGGUCGCGGGUGCGGCUCGGCGGUGCUCGGCGGCGUCGUGGCCCGGGGCGGGGUUGACGCGAGGGCGCGGAGCUCCUGAUGGGGCGCCGAGGUCCUGGCCGCGGCCGAGGCUCGUAAAGACGAGGUCGUCGCGGGGCACCGAGGCGGCUCGGCAGUGCUGUGGCGCCCGCGCGGCCAGCCGUGGUCGAAGCUCGACGCGGCGAGGGCAGCGUCGCGGCUGGCCACGGCUCGGCGAAGGUGGCUUCUGGGCGUCAUGUCAGCCGUCGAGGCAAGGGCGCCGUCGUCUCGGGCUCUCGGUGGCGCAGUGGGUGCUCGUCGCGGACAACUCAAGCGCCUGCGUCCCGGUGCGGCCGUGGCAUCCGCGUGGCCGUCCGCGGUCGCGAGUCCGCACGACGCCGCGGUCGCGGAGGACGCCGGGGCCUCGGUGGCGUCCAGGCUUGACGUGAAGGCGUUGUCGCGGCGCCGGUCAUGGAGGACAAGGCGGAGGGCGGCGGCGCUGGGUGGAGGGAACAGAGGACUGCGGCGGCGCCACUAGGGAAGAGCUCGAGGGCGUGGCGGCGGCUGGGCUCUUUAUAGGCGUCGAGGCUAGGGCUUCAGAGUGGAGGCGUUCAUCCUCGGCGUCCGUGUCCGCAGCGGGACACGCGGCGGGAAUCCUGGGCUGGCGCGGACAGGGACAGGAGGGGCGCUGGCGCUCGUGGCCUUUCCACCGAGCGGUGGCGGUGGCGGCUCUACCUGGGAGCGGCGCGGUUCCUAGGGUUGGGGAGAAGGGGGCGCUGCCUCCCUCAUGGGCCACGGCCUGGGCCUUGGCGACUUGGGCCGUAGGUGAAGGGGGACGAGUGAGCUGGGGGCAAGACGCGCUGGCGGGCCGUGGUGCUGCGUCGCUGGGCCUUGCGCGCGAAAGGGCCAAGCAUGGAGGAGGGAGGGCGCUGGUCGCGUGGGCCAAAGGGAGAAAAGAAAAGAAAAAAAAGGGUAGGAGGGGAGUAGGAAAUGGAUUUUGGCCCGAAAGAGAAGGAUUUUCCAUUUACGAACUUGACUCAAGGGCUUUGAGAGAGAAAUUUAAAAAGGGGAAAGAAUCGAGGGGGAUUCGAGAGAGAACUCAAAAAGAGAUUAAGAUGAGUUGCCAUGAAUUCAAGAUGGAUUUAGCGGUAGGGAUUUAGAGAGGAGGUCGACAAGAGAAAAGGUUUGAGAAGGGAAUUUCGGGGAGAGUUCGGAAAGAAUUCAAGGAAGUUGAGAAGGGAUUCGCUUCGCCUUUGAGAUAGGCUCAAAGAAAAUUUGAGAAGACUUCGCUAGGGAUUUAUGCACUCCAAAAGAAACUCAAAACCCUAAACAAGACCCAACUUAAGACGACUCACGAACAAAAUCACUCGCCUACAAACAAAUCUACAUGUAUGCCACGAUUUGUUAGCGGGUUAGGAUCGAGUUAGACCUGAAAACUAUAUGCUUCACACGGUUACAUGAAAAAUUUUAAAAAGCUCGUAUUUUUGGUUUUUUUUUUUGUAAAAAUCCGGGAUGUUACAGUCCACCCACCUUACAGGAAUCUCGUCCCCGAGAUUUAGGCGUUGCUCGGUCGGUGAAGAGACGAGGGUGUCGUUCUCAAAGCCUUUCUUACUUCUGAGUUGUUUCACUUUCAAUGUGAUCGCUCCACAAACUUUUUCCAAAAUGGGAGUGACUCUUGUUCCAAGUGUAUGCAAGGCUCACUUGCAGUCGUUGGGCAUCCAAAUUUUCACAUCAGGGCGAUGGGUGUCCAAGAAUCGCACGGGGUUGAUGAACAUCUGGCUCUCAAAGAGUGCAUGGCAGGCUUAAACGUAGCUAGGGUUGUUGGCUUUCAAUAGCUGUUUUUCGUGCAUCACUCUUUGCAAAAAGCUUUUGAAAGGAAUGUUUUUCGGAAAAACAGGUUUCAUAAAUGGAGUGAAAGCGAUUUUACAAAGUCAAAUGGAUUUUAAAGAGAGCUCAAACUGAAAAUAGCUUAUGGAAAGGGUUGAAAUCAGCGCAAAUUUUGAAAACCAAGUUUAUUUAUUUUAUUAUAAUUAUUAUUUUAAGAUUUUUGAUGUAAAAGAUUUCAAAUCAAGAGACUUUGAAACUCUUUUAGUUUUCUAGAUGAGGCGUUGCUCUCUUUUAUUUGAACUAAACAAACUAGUUUUGAAAAUGAUUAGAAAUCAUUUCUCUCUUUUGAAAGAUAAAGCUUUAACAACAAUAACAUUUUCUUUCAAAACUUGUAAGUUCAUUUUGUUUUUGCUAAUUUUUUUUUUGGAAGGCCGCAAACAAAAUUCUUUUCGCAAUGGUUUUUGUUUAAUAAAACACUGAAAAUUCCUUUUUCUUUUAGGACAAGGUGGAUUUUUAAAAGGAAUUUGGCUCUCGAGAUAAAAUCAAAGGUCUUUACAACAAAACUGAGCCAAAGAUCUUUGAUCUAAAAACCAUUUUGUUGAUGAAAAAGCAAGACUUUUGUUUUUCAGAAGAUGGUUGGUAACACCUUUUGAAAGAUAACUUAUUUUUAAAUAGUUUCAUAAAUAGAGUUUGGAUAAAAUUGAGUUGAGAAAAGGGUUAAAAUGGCUCUCUUUGUGAAAAUGAAAGAUAUUAAGAGAGUUUUGAAACACUUUUCCUUUUGAAACAAGGAUGCUUUUGUUAGAGAGGGGACAUUUUAACCAAAAGGAGAGAAAAUUUUGAAGACAGGUUCAUUUUGGAAGCCAAAAACAGUUUUGAAAUAGGCGAGCAUCACAUGAUGCAACAGCUUUACCUAACUUUUAACUUUGUUAGUCAGGGCCACCUAUCUAGUCUCGGGACGGUCUUAGGUUUAGCCGACUAGGUUGGACGGAAUCCAGAGUUUUUCUCGCAUAAAACAGGUUCUAUGACUUACACCCAGACAACAAGAAGCAGAAGAAACGCAACAACAUAAGAUCCAAGCACUCAAACAGCAUUACAACUCCUAAUGCAUAGUGUUGACUUGAGGCGACUCACAGACCUUCAAAGUCUCACACAACUAUCGAUCUAGCGUGGGCGGGUAUGGGAAAAGAUUCCAACGGUCAACUUUAUGAAACAGGGAGGUCAGUUAGCAGCAGAAUUCAAGGCGGAGGGGGGAAAACAAGUGUUAGCAUCUAUAACUCUACAAAAGAUAGAAUGUUUGGCUUCUAAACUAGUGUUUGGUCCUAAAGGUCUCGUCCUAGGGUCAAGUAUGGCUCUGAUACCAACUGAAACGACCUAGAUUUUUCCACAAAGGGGAAAAAUCCUCAGAUUCGAAUUAUAAUGUGAUAAUUCAGAUAUUGAGCCAUCACAUUAUCAUAUAUCAGCUGUUAUCGCAGUCAUACAUCGUGAAAAAGAAGAUUACAUCACAUUUACUUUACAACUCUUAGUUAACAAGCCUAUUACAUCGUUUUACUAGCGGAAACACACACGAAUCUUUUUCAGAGUCGAUGUAGCGCGUCAGCAGUGAGGGCUCCUCCUUCACGGGCAAUCAUCAGAGUCGGCGUAGUUUAUCAGCGGGCGUAGCCUUCAUCUCCGAACCAAACUUGAGCGCAGGAACGAGACCACCUAAUCCUUCUAUUCUCCGUAGUUAUCAUCAUAGACCACAUCCAAAACCUGCUAAACAAUUUUCAGUACGAUUUGUACUGGCCACUGGCUCCCACCCUAUGCUUUUGCUUAAGCUUUGUGGUAAGUGGAAUGCAAAGGGUAGAUCAAGAGGCCUAUAUAUAUGGCUGUAGUCUUUCCUAUGCAAGUUCAUCAAUAUUUAAUAAUAAUAUUUCAUCAAGUUUUAUUCCAUCUCAUCCACACAUCCAUCCAUCCAUCCCAUCACACACAUCUCACCACACUCUCACUCUCUAGGCGGCAAGUACGACUCCCGCUCGUGCCUUGCCUCAACGGCCAACGCCGGAUCCAACACAAACCCAGGGGAAGGUAGAAAGGACUCCUCUCACUAGUCAAGCGAAGCGGAACAUAGGAAAGGUCCAUAGCCGAGAAGACGGCAUAUGUAUCGAUCGAUCAACCAAACUCUGCAGAGGUUUACACUAACCACAAGAUCACCAUCAUCGACGAACCGGCUCGUCUAGGCUGAUACCGGGCUGCCUUCCAACUAAAUACGAUGCCACCCUACCACUCAGGACUGGGGCCAUACCGGAGUACCACCGGCAUGCUGAGACUGUGAGGCGUAGUACCGGGCCCCCAAGGGUCACUACGCUGUCUUAGGAGGGUGUGGGUCCUCAUGCCCGUACCUCCCUACACUAUCCGCUAUCAACCUAGUAGUAGUGGCACCGCACUAGCUGGUCGUACAUCCGUCCCGCACCAUAAUAAGGCGAGUGGCGUGUAAGGCUUCCUACGAACCGGUUCUCAGAACAUCUCAGUCCUUAGGGUAACCGAACAGGACAUCUUCACGAGGGGCCAGCCGAUGCCCCUCUCGACGGGACACCCGGCUACCCCGUGCUAAACAGCACCUCCCAUCCCGGUGCUUCGUCCCACGAAGACACUCCACUCCGGGACCUCUCCCUGUCACAUGUACCCGCCACAGGUAUCUCUCAUGGAGAACGCCCAGGUAGCGUUCCCCGGCAAGACUUGUCCCAAGACUCGUCGUAAAUCCUGCUCGGUCGACUCAACCCUCACCACACACCCAAGACACACGCCAAGAUCUCCCCAUAUCCAUUAUCCAUUUCUUAACCAGUUAUCGGCACACGUGCCUUAUCCACUCACAUCCAAUCCUCCACAAUGCAUCACAUCACAGAUAUAAUGCGUAGUAGAAGCAGUAGCAAGUAGUAUGCAAGCAUCUAACCUAACAGCGGGUGUGCGAGGGUUAUAGGUUGCAACAAGGCAAUGGCUCACAAGCAUUUCUACCAUGCAACCUAUCAUAGUUCAUUUGCAUAAAAGUAAAGCACUAGCAUCUAUAAUAUUGCAUGUCUAAUAGGAUUCUACGAGGUUGGGUGGGACGUGGCACCUGUCGAGUGACAUUUCCAGGAUCCUCAGUUCACUUGUAGUUGUACUCAUCCAAGGUCUUUCUCCUAUCUGCAUGUCCUUCCUUCGACUGGUUCCGAUUCGAUCAUCGCUAACCGAAGCAACUACCUCGUAAACGACAAUCAAGGCGAAACAAUCAAACCACUAGACCUAGAAAGAUCAUGAUAAGAGGCGACAAAACACUGAAGAACAACUACACUAAAAGAGCACCGAAAGGAAAACAACUUAGCCCUCUCGGCGGAUGUCCGAUCCCUGGGCUAAAAGAAACGGGAAUGGUUGUUCACUAAGUACAAGCCAGAGUCUUAGCCUAGCCGGUACUUCCCGGGUUAACUGAGUCAACCUGUACGGCUUUAUUAAAUGGCUUAGACUCUAACUCAUUCUAAGCAAACACCACAACUUACAGUCUUUCGAUCCAAGUGUCAUAGAGAUCGACAGGAAUCGAAAAGGCUAUGAGCACGGGAAGUUCCGGUCUCUCUCAAUCCAUACGCCAUUGUAGUUGGCGAGAGCCAAGAGAGGGUGGAACAAGGAGAGAAGAAAAAGGGAAGUGGUCUACUCCUUCCAAUCCACUUGCCAUGGUAAUAGACGGGGUAAUCAGAAAGAGUGACAUACAAGAACACGAGUGCUCAAACUACUUGUAGGGUACCACAACCUAGGUACACUGAAUGCACUAAGACAUCCCUAGGGUUCUUAGCAGUGCGGUUGUCACCACGAGAACCAAAGAAAUGCUACGGUCGAAUAGGUACAAGCAUACAAGAGUUUAAACACAAAGAACCAAAAAGGCGGGAAAAGACACGGGUUUCACUUCCUAUUGAUCCACUUGCCAUAGCAACAGCGGGAAUCGUAGAAAUGGAAUCAAAACACCAAACAAACAAAAGGGCUCAAUCCACAUAUUACUGGAUCUACAGGGAUUGAGAACAAGAGAGAAGAGGAAUGGAGUCCAUACUGUUUCGACCAACUCAUCAUGGAAUGAACGACGGUUGGAUGAAAGAGAUACGACCCCACGAUCCAACCCUACUCGUAGGGUACCACGACUGUGCAUCUAAUCAGCACACGGCUAUUCCUAAGGCCCGUAGCGAUGCGGUUGUCACCGCUAGGUCCGAGGGAAUGCUAUAGUCGAAGUGGUGCAAGCAUACGAGGUGGUUAGGAUAAACACGCGAGAAAUGGGGUAAAGCCGGAUGGUCAUGGCAAGGUGGACUUGCGACCAUUAGCUUCACCCAACGAGUUGGCUUCUGACUGUUCUACAAGGGUUGCUCCUAAUCUGUAUCCCACUAGACUAGAUCACAGAGAACUCGAAGGUGCGGGUAAGAACCGCGUCGUUAUGAAUAUCGAGUCCGCAAAGAUCAAACCCCAGGGACGAGGAUAGGAGCUAACAAGCGUAGCGUGACGAAGUCAACUAAACACGGGGAGACGAGUUACGCUCGGCAUCGCGAUCACGGCGGGACGAACCCACGAUCGAAAUGAUCAAACGCACUACCACUUCCCCGACCGGCUCGAAGGCUCAGUCCUCAGGCAAAUAACAAAAGAAAGAACGACGACAACCCGAGAAGGGAUAUGCUUGGCACUACGACCAUGGCGAGACAACUCGCGAUCGCAACAUUCAAACACAUCACUCUCUCAACCGGCUCGAAGGCACGGUUCACAACCAACCAACCACAUGACACAAGAACCAACGCACAAAGAACCACAAUGCCGCGACCAACACAAAGACAAAGUAGAGUAGCACAUUUCCAUAGCGACCAACAGAGAUAGAUAAACGGAUAGAUAAACAGACCGGCACGAAGGCACGGCACAGGCAUAGAAUAAAUAAUUCAUGUAUCGACAAGUAUAGAUAGAUGGAUAAAGAUGAAUCAUAUAGCAAGUGUAUGAAAGCAGAAUAGGGUUUUUGUUGGCAUCGGGAAUGACGCCAACUAGGGUUCGGGGCUCGACCUUGGAGCCGAUGGGCUGUGGUAGCAGCUGUUGUUCUUCGGAUGCAGCGAAGUGGUGGUCAUGCUUGGUCGCGCGGCUUCGUCAUUGGCCGGUGCUCGGCAAGGUGUUGCAAAGGCGAUCAGCGGUGCUGCGAGGUUCCACUCAUGGUAGCUCUAGCGUUGCGGCUUCCAUGGGAAGGUGCAGCAGGUCCGAGGCCUCCCUGUGACAGUGGUUGAACACGGCACCCAGGCCGACUGUUAGCCAAGAACCACGGUAUGGUCUUCAGAACGGAAAGAAAGGUAUGGCCUUGGCUUGAGAGCUCACCGAUGACAGAGAAGGGCUUGGCGAGGACGAGGCGAGCACGGCACUGACGAGGGGAACUGGUGGGGGCGCUGCUCGACGUCGUGGCCGCAGGGGUGGUGCUUGGCGCUCGGGUUCGCGGUCACCACGGGGUUGCUGGGUCACGACCAGCGCUGCGGACGACGGUGUCGUGGAGGAGGGCUCGGAGCAGAACUCGGUGAGGACGCAGCGUCGCGGGGUCGGGGCUCCUGCUCGGCGAGGGCGCGGAGAUCCUACUCGACGUCGAGGUAGAGGCGCGGCUUGACGGCGGCGGGUGCGCGGGGUGGUGCCGAGGACGAGGCGUGUCGCGGACACGGCGUCGCGACGGCGGUGCGCGGGGACAGGGCUCGGCGCGGCGGGGCGUCCGCGCGGCCGGCCAGGUCGGAGACGCGGACACGGAGAGGCUCCGUGCUCGCGGUGCUGGCCGAAGACGGGGCUCGGGGAAGAGCUCGCGGUUGUGCGUCGUGACGCGGCCACGGCGAGGUUGGUGUCGCAGCCUCGGCCCUUGGCGAAGGACCUCGACGUCGGGGUCGCGGGUGCGGCUCGGCGGUGCUCGGCGGCGUCGUGGCCCGGGGCGGGGUUGACGCGAGGGCGCGGAGCUCCUGAUGGGGCGCCGAGGUCCUGGCCGCGGCCGAGGCUCGUAAAGACGAGGUCGUCGCGGGGCACCGAGGCGGCUCGGCAGUGCUGUGGCGCCCGCGCGGCCAGCCGUGGUCGAAGCUCGACGCGGCGAGGGCAGCGUCGCGGCUGGCCACGGCUCGGCGAAG